UUAGACCAGCCGCCACCUGCAGCAUUAGAAGCUCCUGUGAGGAGAAUGAUGGAAUGGGGCAUUUAUCUAGGAAAUUGAAGGAAGAAUAAGAAAAAUUGAACUUGGGUACAAGGGCGUUAUAAAUAAAGCCAUAAAUUUAAAUAAUUGCUCAUACCUUGUCUAUUGAGAACCUUCUAUCAGGAUCCCAGCUGAGGCAUUUUUCCACCAGAUGGACUAGGCAAAAGAGUUGGUGAAGAUCAUGCGAAUCCAUCACCAUUGGAUCGAUCAAGUCUCCAUAGAUCUUCUUUUUCACCAGCGGUCUUGCCUGUAAUUAAGAAGAAACUGUGGCCAUUUGUAUCUUGAGUAGUUCUUCGGCCAGUGAUAAGCUCUAGAAGAAUCACCCCAAAUGAGUAAACAUCACUCUUGCUUGAAUCUUUCCCGGUUUCUGCAUACUCAGGCGCUACGUACUCAAAAGUUCUUCUGGCGUCACGCCCUAGUGUCUGAUCAGCCGGUUCAUCGUACUGAUGUCUUAUACUGCAAGCCUUUGGCUGUUCCGGUGGCUAUUUCCACUCUCUUGUCCCAUUUCAGCUCUCUCUUGUCUGGGGCAGUUGAAAUGAAAAAUCAUUUCAUUUGGCAAAACUGAUCUAGCAGUAACACAGAAAGGUGAUGAAUAUUGAAUAUUACUGAUCGGGAAAGAUGGUCUUUACUUGAGAG
Diospyros lotus (date-plum) is the source of this 693-nucleotide long non-coding RNA. RefSeq lists it as uncharacterized. The record is from RefSeq and is a predicted model, not a curated record. Lineage: Eukaryota; Viridiplantae; Streptophyta; Magnoliopsida; Ericales; Ebenaceae. The transcript has 4 exons.